GAUGAACGCUGGCGGCGUGCUUAAUACAUGCAAGUCGAACGGAGAGGCGCCUACCUUGCUGCUGGGAGUGUAUCAGUGGAGAACGGGGGAGUAACACGAGAGCCACCCGAUACCUUCUUCUGAACUACCGCAUGCCAGUGUGGCUAAUACGGGAUGUUUUGAGCCUGUCGGUUGAUAGGUCUGGGACAGACUUUCUUUCGCUGGGAGAUGGGCCCGCGGCCCAUUAGCUUGUUGGUAAGGUAAUGGCUUACCAAGGCAACGACGCAUAGCCGACCUGAGAGGGUGAUCGGCCACACUGGAGCUGAGACACGGUGCAGACUCCUACGGGCGGCAGCAGUAGGGAAUCUUCCGCAAUGGGCGAAAGCCUGACGGAGCAACGCCGCGUGAGUGAUGAAGGUCUUCGGAUCGUAAAACUCUGUUAUUAGGGAAGAACAUAUGUGUAAGUAACUGUGCACAUCUUGACGGUACCUAAUCAGAAAGCCACGGCUAACUACGUG
Molecule: ribosomal RNA, 497 nt
Filed under: uncultured bacterium
Lineage: Bacteria
Description: partial 16S ribosomal RNA
Rfam family: Bacterial small subunit ribosomal RNA
Source: RNAcentral